AACGCAUCUUGCACUCCUCGGUAUUCCUUGGAGUAUGUCUGUUUCAGUAUCAUUAAUACCUAUCGAACUCUUUGGGUUUUCAAUCUGAAGAGAAUCGAAAUUGGGCUUUGUAAAUUUUACUAGCCUUAAAUUCAGUCGUGGCCGCAUCUUUAAAAAGAUACUGGCGUCAUAGUUGGCUCUUUCGAGUUCAUCUUUCGCUUUGUUUUCUUCUAAAGUUGCUUAAGACUACGUAAAUUUUUUUUUUUCAAUACUUGAUCUGAAAUCAGGCAGGACUACCCGCUGAACUUAA
This 289-nucleotide unclassified non-coding RNA is filed under the name uncultured fungus. RNAcentral's name for it is "partial contains 5.8S ribosomal RNA, internal transcribed spacer 2, and large subunit ribosomal RNA". The record is from RNAcentral. Lineage: Eukaryota; Fungi.